Molecule: ribosomal RNA, 513 nt
Filed under: uncultured bacterium
Lineage: Bacteria
Description: partial 16S ribosomal RNA
Rfam family: Bacterial small subunit ribosomal RNA
Source: RNAcentral
GAUGAACGCUGGCGGCGUGCCUAAUACAUGCAAGUCGAACGCACAGCGAAAGGUGCUUGCACCUUUCAAGUGAGUGGCGAACGGGUGAGUAACACGUGGACAACCUGCCUCAAGGCUGGGGAUAACAUUUGGAAACAGAUGCUAAUACCGAAUAAAACUCAGUGUCGCAUGACACAAAGUUAAAAGGCGCUUUGGCGUCACCUAGAGAUGGAUCCGCGGUGCAUUAGUUAGUUGGUGGGGUGAAGGCCUACCAAGACAAUGAUGCAUAGCCGAGUUGAGAGACUGAUCGGCCACAUUGGGACUGAGACACGGCCCAAGCGCCUACGGGAGGCUGCAGUAGGGAAUCUUCCACAAUGGGCGAAAGCCUGAUGGAGCAACGCCGCGUGUGUGAUGAAGGCUUUCGGGUCGUAAAGCACUGUUGUAUGGGAAGAACAGCUAGAAUAGGGAAUGAUUUUAGUUUGACGGUACCAUACCAGAAAGGGACGGCUAAAUACGUGCCAGCAGCCGCGGUAA